GUCAACAUAGUUUAAUAAAAACAUUAGGCUGUGGCUCUAAAAACAGAAGAUCCACCUUCUUGUUGACC
Molecule: transfer RNA, 68 nt
Filed under: Microlophus peruvianus
Lineage: Eukaryota; Metazoa; Chordata; Lepidosauria; Squamata; Tropiduridae
Description: tRNA-His
Rfam family: tRNA
About the family: Transfer RNA (tRNA) molecules are approximately 80 nucleotides in length. Their secondary structure includes four short double-helical elements and three loops (D, anti-codon, and T loops). Further hydrogen bonds mediate the characteristic L-shaped molecular structure. tRNAs have two regions of fundamental functional importance: the anti-codon, which is responsible for specific mRNA codon recognition, and the 3' end, to which the tRNAs corresponding amino acid is attached (by aminoacyl-tRNA synthetases). tRNAs cope with the degeneracy of the genetic code in two manners: having more than one tRNA (with a specific anti-codon) for a particular amino acid; and 'wobble' base-pairing, i.e. permitting non-standard base-pairing at the 3rd anti-codon position.
Source: RNAcentral